Molecule: ribosomal RNA, 504 nt
Filed under: uncultured bacterium
Lineage: Bacteria
Description: partial 16S ribosomal RNA
Rfam family: Bacterial small subunit ribosomal RNA
Source: RNAcentral
AUUGAACGCUGGCGGCAGGCCUAACACAUGCAAGUCGAACGGUAGCACAGAGAGCUUGCUCUCGGGUGACGAGUGGCGGACGGGUGAGUAAUGUCUGGGAAACUGCCCGAUGGAGGGGGAUAACUACUGGAAACGGUAGCUAAUACCGCAUAACGUCGCAAGACCAAAGUGGGGGACCUUCGGGCCUCACACCAUCGGAUGUGCCCAGAUGGGAUUAGCUAGUAGGUGGGGUAAUGGCUCACCUAGGCGACGAUCCCUAGCUGGUCUGAGAGGAUGACCAGCCACACUGGAACUGAGACACGGUCCAGACUCCUACGGGAGGCAGCAGUGGGGAAUAUUGCACAAUGGGCGCAAGCCUGAUGCAGCCAUGCCGCGUGUAUGAAGAAGGCCUUCGGGUUGUAAAGUACUUUCAGCGGGGAGGAAGGCGGUGAAGUUAAUAACUUCACCGAUUGACGUUACCCGCAGAAGAAGCACCGGCUAACUCCGUGCCAGCAGCCGCCGUAA